AUUGAACGCUGGCGGCAGGCCUAACACAUGCAAGUCGAGCGGAUGAAGGGAGCUUGCUCCUGGAUUCAGCGGCGGACGGGUGAGUAAUGCCUAGGAAUCUGCCUGGUAGUGGGGGAUAACGUCCGGAAACGGGCGCUAAUACCGCAUACGUCCUGAGGGAGAAAGUGGGGGAUCUUCGGACCUCACGCUAUCAGAUGCGCCUAGGUCGGAUUAGCUAGUUGGUGGGGUAAAGGCCUACCAAGGCGACGAUCCGUAACUGGUCUGAGAGGAUGAUCAGUCACACUGGAACUGAGACACGGUCCAGACUCAGACGGGAGGCAGCAGUGGGGAAUAUUGGACAAUGGGCGAAAGCCUGAUCCAGCCAUGCCGCGUGUGUGAAGAAGGUCUUCGGAUUGUAAAGCACUUUAAGUUGGGAGGAAGGGCAGUAAGUUAAUACCUUGCUGUUUUGACGUGACCAACAGAAUGAGCACCGGCUAACUUCGUG
RNAcentral lists this ribosomal RNA (484 nucleotides) under uncultured bacterium. RNAcentral describes it as "partial 16S ribosomal RNA". It matches the Rfam family "Bacterial small subunit ribosomal RNA", at positions 30 to 507 of the family's 1533-position model. The record is from RNAcentral.